UACGAAGGGGGCUAGCGUUGCUCGGAAUCACUGGGCGUAAAGGGUGCGUAGGCGGGUAUUUAAGUCAGGGGUGAAAUCCUGGAGCUCAACUCCAGAACUGCCUUUGAUACUGAGGAUCUUGAGUUCGGGAGAGGUGAGUGGAACUGCGAGUGUAGAGGUGAAAUUCGUAGAUAUUCGCAAGAACACCAGUGGCGAAGGCGGCUCACUGGCCCGAUACUGACGCUGAUGCACGAAAGCGUGGGGAGCAAACAGG
RNAcentral lists this ribosomal RNA (253 nucleotides) under uncultured bacterium. RNAcentral describes it as "partial 16S ribosomal RNA". It matches the Rfam family "Bacterial small subunit ribosomal RNA", at positions 524 to 776 of the family's 1533-position model. The record is from RNAcentral.